AGUGUUCACAGCGGUCCUUGAU
This 22-nucleotide microRNA is filed under the name Saccoglossus kowalevskii. RNAcentral's name for it is "sko-miR-124-5p". Its record names the gene sko-miR-124-5p. The record is from miRBase by way of RNAcentral. Lineage: Eukaryota; Metazoa; Hemichordata; Enteropneusta; Harrimaniidae.